AUACUGGGCCUUCUAGGUCUGGUAAUUGGAAUGAGUACAAUUUAAAUCCCUUAACGAGGAUCCAUUGGAGGACAAGUCUGGUGCCAGCACCCGCGGUAAUUCCAGCUCCAAUAGCGUAUAUUAAAAUUGUUGCCGUUAAAAAGCUCGUAGUUGAACUUCUGGCUUGGCGCGCGCGGCCCGGUUCGUUAUCGGACUGUGUGCCGUUGUGCGCCUGCCAUCCUUCUGGAGCACGACUGUGCCCUUCACUGGGUUGCAGCCGCGCAUCAGAUCUUUUACUUUGAAAAAAUUAGAGUGUUUAAAGCAGGCUUGCGCUAUGAAUACAUUAGCAUGGAAUAAUAAUUUAGGACUUCUGUUCUAUUUUGUUGGUUUCUAGGAUGGAAGUAAUGAUUGAUAGGGAUAGUUGGGGGUGCUAGUAUUCAGCGGCCAGAGGUGAAAUUCUUGGAUUCGCUGAAGACUAACUUAUGCGAAAGCAUUCACCAAGGAUGUCUUCUUUAAUCAAGAACGAAAGUUGGGGGAUCGAAGACGAUCAGAUACCGUCGUAGUCUCAACCAUAAACUAUGCCGACUAGGGAUGGGCGAAUGUUAUUCAACUGACUUCGUCCGCACCUUAUGAGAAAUCAAAGUCUUUGGGUUCCGGGGGGAGUAUGGUCGCAAGGCUGAAACUUAAAGGAAUUGACGGAAGGGCACCACCAGGAGUGGAGCCUGCGGCUUAAUUUGACCCAACACGGGAAAACUUACCAGGUCCAGACGUGGGAAGGAUUGACAGAUUGAAGAUCUUUCUUGAUUCUACGGGUGGUGGUGCAUGGCCGUUCUUAGUUGGUGGAGUGAUUUGUCUGGUUAAUUCCGUUAACGAACGAGACCUCGACCUGCUAAAUAGUAUGACGAAUCCCAGAUUCGGACGUGCUUCUUAGAGGGACUAUCGGUGUGUAGCCGAUGGAAGUUCGAGGCAAUAACAGGUCUGUGAUGCCCUUAGAUGUUCUGGGCCGCACGCGCGCUACACUGAUACGUUCAUCGAGCUUACAACCUUGACUGAGAGGUCUGGGUAAUCUUUUAAAUCGUAUCGUGCUGGGGAUAGAUUAUUGUAAUUUUUAAUCUUCAACGAGGAAUUCCUAGUAAACGCGGGUCAUCAGCUCGCAUUGAUUACGUCCCUGCCCUUUGUACACACCGCCCGUCGCUACUACCGAUUGAAUGGCUUAGUGAGCUUCAGGGAUUGAUGUGCUUGGUGGGCGACCAUCUUGCAUUUCGAGAACUGAAUCAAACUU
Molecule: ribosomal RNA, 1261 nt
Filed under: metagenome
Description: SSU rRNA
Rfam family: Eukaryotic small subunit ribosomal RNA
Source: RNAcentral